ACUCAUGGUUAGCCCAUGGCACACGGCUCACAGCACAGCAUGGCACACGUGGUUAGCCCAUGUCCCCACACAUGGCACAGCAUGGCACUGGUUCACAGCUCACGGCUCGUGGCACAGCACUGCAUUCAUGGUAAGCCCAUGGCACACGACUCAUGGCUCAUGGCACAGCAUGGCACUCAUGGCUAGCCCAUGGCACACGGCUCAUGGCACAGCAUGGCACAGCACGGCACACACGGUAAGCCCAUGGCAC
This 250-nucleotide long non-coding RNA is filed under the name Chrysolophus pictus (golden pheasant). RNAcentral describes it as "lncRNA (ENSCPIG00010013940.1)". Lineage: Eukaryota; Metazoa; Chordata; Aves; Galliformes; Phasianidae. The record is from RNAcentral.